Molecule: long non-coding RNA, 1656 nt
Filed under: Lotus japonicus
Lineage: Eukaryota; Viridiplantae; Streptophyta; Magnoliopsida; Fabales; Fabaceae
Description: long non-coding RNA (LJAP_LNC001203)
Source: RNAcentral
UUGGUUGUCUGCAUUUUUUCAAAAACAACCUGAUGUCCUAGCCGAUGUUGUGACAUCUGCCUUGAUGAAGGCCAGGACAUCCGCCCCUGCUGGCAUGCAAGUGGGUCCCUUGUGGUUAUGCUUUAUGGUAUGAUCUGUGCUUACUUGAAGGUCAAGUAACUGUGUGUUGGGAGCCAGUUGCGGGUUGUUAUUGUUGAAGCAAAUCUGUGAUUAAAAAGAUUUGUUUCUAUUUUUACUUGUUGAUCACUCAUAUCAGAUCUUGAAAGAUUCUCUGCUGAUAUGAGUUGGAUCAAGGUGUUCUUCAGCCCAAAUAAACCCUAGCCGCCUCUGCUGAAGUAUAUAUUGACAAAGACCUGAAGCUUGAAGUUGAUCGAGAGAAUUACCUUGAAGAUCAAGUGUUCUUAAGAGUGUAAGUUGUUCUUUGUCUUUGUUAGUUGUGAACUCGUCUUGCUCACUGAUUCUAUAAAGUGAGACUGAGUUCUGUGUUGUGUUUGAGUGUCAAACAAACUCUGUGUUAUUGUUGUUCACCAAUCACUGUGGCAGUGAUUGAGGAAAAGUGAGAGGGGGUUCUCAUACUUAGGGGGAGACCUAAGUAAUAAACCACGGGUAGGAAUAGGUAGAAAGGCUGGGAACUGGGGCAGUUCUGUUAAGACCUUUUUGUACUUGAUUCUCUAUAAUAGUGGAUUAUCUUUCUCUUGGGUGGAAGCCCUCCAGAUGUAGGUGAUGUUGCACCGAACUGGGUUACCAAUCCUCUGUGUUCUUUAUUGUUAUAUUGUUGCUACUGUGUUGUUUCUACUGUAUUAAACAUUGUGGCUUAAUUUCUGUACUGUUGUGCAAUUGUCGAACUGAUUGUCCCAACAUCGCGUUCGACAUCUGUCCUGUGCACGAACCAGAAUUUCAAUUGGUAUCAGAGCAGGCACCCUAUUCUGUUGGGUGAGCUCCAGGGAAUAUAUUCUGGUUUCAUGGACAACGCCAAGGAAGAGGGAUCAAUAAAUAGAUCUGAUCUUGUGAUCUCAUGUAUCUGCUGCUGUUUAUGUUGUGUCUCUGAUAUGCAACCCAAUGAUGUGCACCGUUUGAGGGGGAGUUCUGAUGCUGAGAGGGAGUUAUGUUUAUCUUCUCUGAAUCUCAAGUUGUUUUAGACAAAAUUUGACAAAGGGGGAGAUUGUUGUUACUUUUGGUUGUCUGCAUUUUUUCAAAAACAACCUGAUGUCGAAGCAGAUGUUGUAACAUCGUGCUGUGACAUUUGUCCUGCGGAUCUGCUGUGUGUUUGGCUGAUUUUUCUAGAAGCUUUGGAUGGAUUUCGUGAUAAUCAAGUUAAGGUUAUUGAAGAAGCUUCUAUUUGUUAUCUGGAAUAUAAUAUAGUGGAAUCAAAUCUGUUGAAGAAGAUUUGAUUUGGUUUAAAUUGUGAAAGAUGUUAUCUUUUGUUCAAAUCUUAUUUGAUAAGAUUUGUUACUGGUUUAAAAGAUUUGUUCCAGAUCUGUUUUAUGGACUCUAUUUUCGUGCAAGCCCAUUGAAGAUCAAGACCAGAAGAAAGCCUAUUUAAGGAGGCUUAACCCUAGUUGCAAAGUGUGCCUUGGGCACCCAAGGAUUGGGUUUUUAGGGUUUUGUUUUGUGAGUCCUUGUUCUGUUAUUUUGUACACCACUCUACUGCCUCCA